GAUUUUUCAGGAACAGUGUUUCCUAAAGACC
This is a non-coding RNA of Tyto alba (common barn owl), 31 nucleotides long. NCBI's taxonomy places the organism in Eukaryota, Metazoa, Chordata, Aves, Strigiformes, Tytonidae. The record is from Rfam.